This 1484-nucleotide ribosomal RNA is filed under the name uncultured bacterium. RNAcentral's name for it is "bacterial SSU rRNA". It matches the Rfam family "Bacterial small subunit ribosomal RNA". The record is from RNAcentral.
UAGAGUUUGAUCCUGGCUCAGGAUGAACGCUGGCGGCGUGCCUAAUACAUGCAAGUCGAACGAGGUGCUUUUGUAGCAAUACGAGAGUAUCCUAGUGGCGAACGGGUGAGUAACGCGUUGGUGACCUACCCCAAAGUGUGGGAUAACAGUCCGAAAGGAUUGCUAAUACCGCAUGUGGUCUUCAGGUUUAGAAACUGAUGACUAAAGGAGCAAUUCGCUUUGGGAGGGACCUGCGUCCCAUCAGCUAGUUGGUGAGGUAAUGGCUCACCAAGGCGACGACGGGUAGGGGACCUGAGAGGGUGACCCCCCACAAUGGAACUGAAACACGGUCCAUACACCUACGGGUGGCAGCAGUAGGGAGUAUUGCUCAAUGGGCGAAAGCCUGAAGCAGCAACGCCGCGUGCACGAUGAAGGCCUUCGGGUCGUAAAGUGCUUUUCUGGGAGAUGAGAAAGGACAGUAUCCCAGGAAUAAGUCUCGGCUAACUACGUGCCAGCAGCCGCGGUAAAACGUAGGAGGCGAGCGUUAUCCGGAUUCACUGGGCGUAAAGCGCGUGCAGGUGGCUUGGUAAGUUAGGCGUGAAAUCUCCCGGCUCAACUGGGAGAGGUCGUCUAAUACUACCGGGCUAGAGAGCAGAAGAGGAAGAUGGAAUUCCCGGUGUAGUGGUGAAAUGCGUAGAUAUCGGGAGGAACACCAGUGGCGAAGGCGAUCUUCUGGUCUGUUUCUGACACUCAGACGCGACAGCUAGGGUAGUAAACGGGAUUAGAGAUCCCGGUAAUCCUAGCCGUAAACGAUGUGAACUUGGCGUUGGUGGGUUAAACUCCAUCAGUGCCGCAGCAAACGCGAUAAGUUCACCGCCUGGGGACUACGGCCGCAAGGUUAAAACUCAAAGGAAUUGACGGGGGCCCGCACAAGCAGCGGAGCGUGUGGUUUAAUUCGAUGCUACACGAAGAACCUUACCCAGGCUUGACAUACAGGUGGUAGGGAUCCGAAAGGUGACCGACCCGCCAAGGGAGCCUGAACAGGUGUUGCAUGGCUGUCGUCAGCUCGUGUCGUGAGAUGUUGGGUUAAGUCCCGCAACGAGCGCAACCCUCGCCUUUAGUUGCCACGCAAGUGGAUCUCUAGAGGGACUGCCGGUGUCAAACCGGAGGAAGGUGGGGAUGACGUCAAGUCCUCAUGGCCUUUAUGACCAGGGCUACACACGUGCUACAAUGGCCGGUACAAAGCGCAGCCAACUCGCGAGAGGGAGCCAAUCGCAUAAAACCGGUCUCAGUUCGGAUUGGAGUCUGCAACUCGACUCCAUGAAGUCGGAAUCGCUAGUAAUCGUAGAUCAGCACGCUACGGUGAAUACGUUCCCGGGCCUUGUACACACCGCCCGUCACACCAUGGGAGUCAAUUGCUCCAGAAGUCAGUGUGCCAACCGCAAGGAGGCAGCUGCCCAAGGAGUGAUUGGUAACUGGGGUGAAGUCGUAACAAGGUAACCGUA